AUGAGUAUGGUGAAAAUAGUGAAACUAAAAACUAUGGUGGAAAACCUCGUAAAGAAUUUGUAUAUAAUCCUGAUAUGGACAAUUUUCAAAACACCAGGAAAAAAGAAUGUGCAAGAGGAUGAUGAAGAUGAUCUUAAUGUUUCUGAAGAGAAGAGACCUUAUUAUUGCACACCUGAUUAUUGGGAUAGUUUCAAGGGUGAUAAAGAAGAUCCUAUCGAAGUUCCUGAGGUAUCUCAUGAGAAAUCCGUUACAUAUUUAGGAACAGAUGUAAUCACAUCACGUGGAUCCGUAGAUUCUAUUGGAGAAGAUGAGGUACCGGAGGAGGUUGUAGGGAAACGGAAGCGGAAGGCUCCUUAUGUGCAAGCUAUACCGACAAAGCGUGCAAAACGUUCAGCAAAAGCAAAACUAUUCGAGAAAUAA
Molecule: ribosomal RNA, 420 nt
Filed under: Triticum aestivum (bread wheat)
Lineage: Eukaryota; Viridiplantae; Streptophyta; Magnoliopsida; Poales; Poaceae
Description: partial small subunit ribosomal RNA
Source: RNAcentral